This is a non-coding RNA of Paramuricea clavata, 681 nucleotides long. The record is from the annotation of a GenBank genome assembly. Lineage: Eukaryota; Metazoa; Cnidaria; Anthozoa; Malacalcyonacea; Plexauridae.
CCCCAGGAAAAGUCCCGUUUUCCUAAAUUUAUACAAACAAACCAGCGAAGAAUAACAAAUCGAUAAACGGAAAGUAAGUUUUGGCUUUAUUCUUUGUCCUUGUUUAACAAAAUCGAUUUAACGGAGCUGUGUCAGCGCGUGCAUGUGCAUCCUACGUGUUUCUAACACUAAGUAUAAAUUAUUGUUAAUAUUUUUUACAUUUUUUUUUCCGUUUUUUCCCUCUUUUAUUUCAAAUACAAAUAUAGUUAGCGUACAUUUUAGAACAAAUUAGUUUAGAUGCUCAGGAUGCAGGAAAUGGCAUUUCUGGGCUUCAAAUUUCAAAAAUGUUCUGUGGGAGUAUGCCCUCAGACCCCCCUAUCCAUGCGUAGUAUGUUGGCCACACGCGUCAACGCAUGACCCACGGCCAUUGCCAUCCCCUUUAAUGAGUAAUGGAUAAAUUAGUGUUAAUAUUUUUAAAAUUUUUUCUGCAUUUUUCCCUUCUAUUAUUUCAAAUACAUGUAUAGUUAGCAUAAAUUUUAGAGCAAAUUUAGAUGCUCAGAAUGCAGGAAAUGGCAUUUCCCGGCUUCAAAUUUCAAAAAUUUUCUGGGGGAGCAUGUCCCCAGACCCCCCUAUUCAUGCGUAGUAUGUCGGCCACACACGUAGCCUUCGGUCAUUGCUAUCCCCCUCUAAUAUAUUAUCUCA